GAAAUGCGAUACGUAGUGUGAAUUGCAGAAUUCAGUGAAUCAUCGAAUCUUUGAACGCACAUUGCGCCCUUUGGUAUUCCAAAGGGCAUGCCUGUUCGAGCGUCAUUUGUACCCUCAAGCUUUGCUUGGUGUUGGGCGUUUUUUGUCUUUGGCUCGCCCAAAGACUCGCCUUAAAACGAUUGGCAGCUGGCCUACUGGUUUCGCAGCGCAGCACAUUUUUGCGCUUGCAAUCAGCAAAAGAGGACGGCAAUCCAUCAAGACUCCUUCUCACGUUUGACCUCGGAUCAGGUAGGGAUACCCGCUGAACUUAAGC
RNAcentral lists this unclassified non-coding RNA (313 nucleotides) under plant metagenome. Its description in RNAcentral is "partial contains 5.8S ribosomal RNA, internal transcribed spacer 2, and large subunit ribosomal RNA". The stretch from base 1 to 105 matches the Rfam family "5.8S ribosomal RNA", at positions 50 to 154 of the family's 154-position model. The record is from RNAcentral.